CGGAACGUACCAUUCAGUGGGGGAUAACGUAGCGAAAGUUACGCUAAUACCGCAUAUUCUGUGAGCAGGAAAGCAGGGGAUCGCAAGACCUUGCGCUGAUUGAGCGGCCGAUAUCAGAUUAGCUUGUUGGUGAGGUAAAAGCUCACCAAGGCGACGAUCUGUAGCGGGUCUGAGAGGAUGAUCCGCCACACUGGAACUGAGACACGGUCCAGACUCCUACGGGAGGCAGCAGUGGGGAAUUUUGGACAAUGGGGGCAACCCUGAUCCAGCCAUGCCGCGUGAGUGAAGAAGGCCUUCGGGUUGUAAAGCUCUUUCAGCCGGGAAGAAAACGCAUGGGUUAAUACCCUGUGUGGAUGACGGUACCGGAAUAAGAAGCACCGGCUAACUACGUGCCAGCAGCCGCGGUAAUACGUAGGGUGCGAGCGUUAAUCGGAAUUACUGGGCGUAAAGCGUGCGCAGGCGGUUUUGUAAGACAGGCGUGAAAUCCCCGGGCUUAACCUGGGAACUGCGUUUGUGACUGCAAGGCUAGAGUACGGCAGAGGGGGGUGGAAUUCCACGUGUAGCAGUGAAAUGCGUAGAGAUGUGGAGGAACACCAAUGGCGAAGGCAGCCCCCUGGGUCGAUACUGACGCUCAUGCACGAAAGCGUGGGUAGCAAACAGGAUUAGAUACCCUGGUAGUCCACGCCCUAAACGAUGUCAACUAGGCGUUGGGAGGGUAAAACCUUUUAGUACCGUAGCUAACGCGAGAAGUUGACCGCCUGGGGAGUACGGCCGCAAGGUUAAAACUCAAAGGAAUUGGCGGGGACCCGCACAAGCGGUGGAUGAUGUGGAUUAAUUCGAUGCAACGCGAAAAACCUUACCUACCCUUGACAUGUCAGGAACUUGCCAGAGAUGGCUUGGUGCCCGAAAGGGAACCUGAACACAGGUGCUGCAUGGCUGUCGUCAGCUCGUGUCGUGAGAUGUUGGGUUAAGUCCCGCAACGAGCGCAACCCUUGUCGUUAAUUGCCAUCAUUUAGUUGGGCACUUUAACGAGACUGCCGGUGACAAACCGGAGGAAGGUGGGGAUGACGUCAAGUCCUCAUGGCCCUUAUGGGUAGGGCUUCACACGUCAUACAAUGGUCGGUACAAAGGGUCGCCAACCCGCGAGGGGGAGCCAAUCCCAGAAAGCCGAUCGUAGUCCGGAUUGCAGGCUGCAACUCGCCUGCAUGAAGUCGGAAUCGCUAGUAAUCGUGGAUCAGCAUGUCACGGUGAAUACGUUCCCGGGUCUUGUACACACCGCCCGUCACACCAUGGGAGCGGGUUCCGCCAGAAGUAGGUAGCCUAACC
RNAcentral lists this ribosomal RNA (1326 nucleotides) under metagenome. Its description in RNAcentral is "bacterial SSU rRNA". It matches the Rfam family "Bacterial small subunit ribosomal RNA", at positions 119 to 1440 of the family's 1533-position model. The record is from RNAcentral.